AAGUCGUAACAAGGUUUCCGUAGGUGAACCUGCGGAAGGAUCAUUACAAAUCAUGGCGAUUCCUCGCCAUUUUUUUUUUUCGUAUUUAAAACAUCCCGCUCUUGUAAAAAAACAAUAUAUUUUUUAAUUGUUAAAAAAAGAUCACUUUCAACAACGGAUCUCUUGGCUCUC
This 171-nucleotide unclassified non-coding RNA is filed under the name fungal sp. Its description in RNAcentral is "partial internal transcribed spacer region". The stretch from base 1 to 46 matches the Rfam family "Eukaryotic small subunit ribosomal RNA", at positions 1786 to 1831 of the family's 1831-position model. Lineage: Eukaryota; Fungi. RNAcentral also lists the same sequence under 1 other name. The record is from RNAcentral.